Molecule: long non-coding RNA, 391 nt
Filed under: Setaria viridis
Lineage: Eukaryota; Viridiplantae; Streptophyta; Magnoliopsida; Poales; Poaceae
Description: long non-coding RNA (SVIR_LNC001113)
Source: RNAcentral
UAACAUCUGUAAAAUCUACUAACUCAAAUCAUCCACUAAAAAUUCAUCUUCAAAAUCUUUUGACCGUUGAGCUCCUGAAGAUCCUUUCCUUCCCGGCGACUUCGCCAUCCCGGCACCCAAUGUCGGCAACCACCUUUUCUUCCUUUGCGAAUUCCACCGCGUGCUCGUCAAAAAUCCGUCACACGUGCCCGACCGUUUUCCGCAUUUUUCACCAUCUCUCCCUCUCUUUUCUCUUUUUUAUUCCCCUUCUCCUUUUUUCCCUUUUCUUUUUCUUCCAUCUCUUUCUCCCUUUCUUUCUUUCUGCCUCCUUCCUCCUUCCUUCUUUCUUCUCCUUCCUUCCUCCCUGGUCACGCACACAAGCCCCCUGGCCGGCCCUUCCCUCCACCUGCAC